This 253-nucleotide ribosomal RNA is filed under the name uncultured bacterium. RNAcentral describes it as "partial 16S ribosomal RNA". It matches the Rfam family "Bacterial small subunit ribosomal RNA", at positions 524 to 776 of the family's 1533-position model. The record is from RNAcentral.
UACGAAGGGGGCUAGCGUUGCUCGGAAUCACUGGGCGUAAAGCGCACGUAGGCGGCUUGUUAAGUCAGGGGUGAAAUCCUGGAGCUCAACUCCAGAACUGCCUUUGAUACUGAAGAUCUUGAGUUCGGGAGAGGUGAGUGGAACUGCGAGUGUAGAGGUGAAAUUCGUAGAUAUUCGGAGGAACACCAGUGGCGAAGGCGGCUCACUGGUCCAUUACUGACGCUGAGGUGCGAAAGCGUGGGGAGCAAACAGG